UGGGGAAUUUUCCGCAAUGGGCGAAAGCCUGACGGAGCAAUACCGCGUGAGGGAGGAAGGCUUUUGGGUUGUAAACCUCUUUUGUUAAGGAAGAAGCAAGUGACGGUACUUAACGAAUCAGCAUCGGCUAACUCCGUGCCAGCAGCCGCGGUAAUACGGAGGAUGCAAGCGUUAUCCGGAAUUAUUGGGCGUAAAGCGUUCGCAGGUGGUUAUUCAAGUCCGCUGUCAAAGCCCGGGGCUUAACCCUGGAGAGGCAGUAGAAACUGAAAAACUAGAGACCGGUAGGGGUAGAGGGAAUUCCCAGUGUAGCGGUGAAAUGCGUAGAGAUUGGGAAGAACACCAGUGGCGAAAGCGCUCUACUGGGCCGGUACUGACACUCAGGGACGAAAGCUAGGGGAGCGAAAGGGAUUAGAUACCCCCGUAGUCC
RNAcentral lists this ribosomal RNA (427 nucleotides) under uncultured prokaryote. RNAcentral's name for it is "bacterial SSU rRNA". It matches the Rfam family "Bacterial small subunit ribosomal RNA", at positions 355 to 796 of the family's 1533-position model. The record is from RNAcentral.